Molecule: ribosomal RNA, 488 nt
Filed under: Lytocarpia phyteuma
Lineage: Eukaryota; Metazoa; Cnidaria; Hydrozoa; Leptothecata; Aglaopheniidae
Description: partial 16S ribosomal RNA
Rfam family: Bacterial large subunit ribosomal RNA
Source: RNAcentral
AAAUUAAAUGGCUGCAGUAACUAUGACUGUAAAAAUGUAGCAUAAUAAUUCGCCACUUAAUUAGUGGAUAGUAUGAACGGUUUAACGAAAAUUCCACUGUCUUAUAUAAUAAAAAAAAAAUUUAAAUCAUAGUUAAGAUGUAUGUAAAACUGUAAGACGAAAAGACCCUAUAAAGCUUAACUAUAUUUCUUAAUAAUUAAUAAAAAAAAACUUAAAAAAAUUAUUUAUUAAGAUUUGGUAGUUUCAUUGGGGCGAUGAUCUCUAAAAAUAAACAGAGAUAAACCUAUAUAAUAAUAAAAUUUACUGUAUAAUUAAUAAAUUUAACAGUUACAAAGUAGGGUAUAAUGACCCAUUAAUUUUAUAAAAAGAAUUAAUGAUCAAUAAAUAAAAGCUACUUUAGGGAUAACAGGAUAAUAAUUUCUUAGAGACCCAAUCGAAGAAAAAGUUUAUCACCUCGAUGUUGAAUUAAGAUAACCUAAUGACGCAGC